Molecule: ribosomal RNA, 489 nt
Filed under: uncultured bacterium
Lineage: Bacteria
Description: partial 16S ribosomal RNA
Rfam family: Bacterial small subunit ribosomal RNA
Source: RNAcentral
GAUGAACGCUAGCGGGAGGCCUAACACAUGCAAGCCGAGCGGGAUUUGUUGGUUAGCUUGCUAACUAACAAUGAGAGCGGCGUACGGGUGCGUAGCACGUGUGCAACCUGCCUUUAUCUGGGGGAUAGCCUUUCGAAAGGAAGAUUAAUACCCCAUAACAUAUUGAUUGGCAUCAGUUAAUAUUGAAAGCUCCGGCGGAUAGAGAUGGGCACGCGUAAGAUUAGCUAGUUGGUGAGGUAACGGCUCACCAAGGCUGCGAUCUUUAGGGGGCCUGAGAGGGUGAUCCCCCACACUGGUACUGCGACACGGACCAGACUCCUACGGGAGGCAGCAGUGAGGAAUAUUGAACAAUGGGUGAGAGCCUGAUCCAGCCAUCCCGCGUGAAGGACUAAGGACCUAUGGUUUGUAAACUUCUUUUAUACAGGGAUAAACCUACUCUCGUGAGGGUAGCUGAAGGUACUGUAUGAAUAAGCACCGGCUAACUCCGUG